RNAcentral lists this ribosomal RNA (468 nucleotides) under uncultured bacterium. RNAcentral describes it as "partial 16S ribosomal RNA". It matches the Rfam family "Bacterial small subunit ribosomal RNA", at positions 28 to 507 of the family's 1533-position model. The record is from RNAcentral.
GACGAACGCUGGCGGCGUGCUUAACACAUGCAAGUCGAACGGAAAGUCCCUGCUUUUGUGGGGUGCUCGAGGGGCGAACGGGUGAGUAACACGUGAGUAACCUGCCCUUGACUUUGGGAUAACUUCAGGAAACUGGUGCUAAUACCGGAUAGGAGCACCUGCUGCAUGGUGGGGGUUGGAAGGUUUCGGCGGUUGGGGAUGGACUCGCGGCUUAUCAGCUUGUUGGUGGGGUAGUGGCUUACCAAAGCUUUGACGGGUAGCCGGCCUGAGAGGGUGACCGGCCACAUUGGGACUGAGAUACGGCCCAGAGUCCUACGGGAGACAGCAGUGGGGAAUAUUGCACAAUGGGCGGAAGCCUGAUGCAGCAACGCCGCGCGCGGGAUGACGGCCUUCGGGUUGUAAACCGCUUUCGCCUGUGACGAAGAGUGAGUGACGGUAAUGGAUAAAGAAGCACCGGCUAACUACGUG